UACGGAGGGUGCAAGCGUUAUCCGGAUUCACUGGGCUUAAAGGGUGCGUAGGCGGGUUGGUAAGUCCGUGGUGAAAUCCCCGAGCUUAACUCGGGAACUGCCAUGGAUACUAUUUGUCUUGAAUAUUGUGGAGGUAAGCGGAAUAUGUCAUGUAGCGGUGAAAUGCUUAGAUAUGACAUAGAACACCAAUUGCGAAGGCAGCUUACUACACAGUUAUUGACGCUGAGGCACGAAAGCGUGGGGAUCAAACAGG
RNAcentral lists this ribosomal RNA (253 nucleotides) under uncultured bacterium. Its description in RNAcentral is "partial 16S ribosomal RNA". It matches the Rfam family "Bacterial small subunit ribosomal RNA", at positions 524 to 776 of the family's 1533-position model. The record is from RNAcentral.